RNAcentral lists this ribosomal RNA (445 nucleotides) under uncultured bacterium. RNAcentral describes it as "partial 16S ribosomal RNA". It matches the Rfam family "Bacterial small subunit ribosomal RNA", at positions 354 to 796 of the family's 1533-position model. The record is from RNAcentral.
GUGAGGAAUAUUGGUCAAUGGGCGGGAGCCUGAACCAGCCAAGUCGCGUGAAGGAAGAAGGAUCUAUGGUUCGUAAACUUCUUUUGUAGGGGAAUAAAGUGCAGGACGUGUCCUGUUUUGUAUGUACCCUGAGAAUAAGGAUCGGCUAACUCCGUGCCAGCAGCCGCGGUAAUACGGAGGAUCCGAGCGUUAUCCGGAUUUAUUGGGUUUAAAGGGUGCGUAGGUGGUUUGAUAAGUCAGCGGUGAAAGUUUGCAGCUUAACUGUAAAAAUGCCGUUGAAACUGGCGGACUUGAGUGUAAAUGAGGUAGGCGGAAUGCGUGGUGUAGCGGUGAAAUGCAUAGAUAUCACGCAGAACUCCGAUUGCGAAGGCAGCUUACUAAGCUACAACUGACACUGAAGCACGAAAGCGUGGGGAUCAAACAGGAUUAGAAACCCCGGUAGUCC